GCUCAGUAACACGUAGCUAACCUACCCUAGAGCCCGUACUAUCCUCGGGAAACUGAGGUUAAUGACGGAUACGUGACGUUUCCUGGAAUGAUUCAUCACGGAAAAUUCGCGAUAGGACGGGGCUGCGGCUGAUUAGGUAGUUGGCGGGGUAACAGCCCACCAAGCCAAUGAUCAGUAAGGGCUCUUAGCGGAGAAGCCCUGAGAGGGAAUCUGAGACACUAUUCCCAGCCCUACGGGGUGCAGCAGUCGGGAAACUUUUGCAAUGCACGCAAGUGUGACAGAGCGAGCCAGAGUGCUUCUCGUUUAGAGAAGCUUUUGUGAAAUGUAAAAAGUCUCACGAAUAAGGACCGGGCAAGACUGGUGCCAGCCGCCGCGGUAAUCCCAGCGGUCCAAGUCGCAGCCACGAUUAUUGGGUCUAAAACAUCCGUAGCUUGCUUCGUAAGUCUCGUGUGAAAUCUGGCCUCUUGAGGGUCGGGCGUGCACGAGAUACUGCGGAGCUCGAGACCGGGAGACGUCGUGAGUACGAAUAGGGUAGCGGUAAAAUGCGUUGAUCCUAUGCGGACUACCAACAGCGAAGGCACGCGACGAGAACGGAUCUGACAGUGAGGGAUGAAGGCUAGGGGCGCAAAGUGGAUUAGAUACCCAUGUAGUCCUAGCAGUAAACACUGCACACUAAACAUUGGAGCCUCCUCGAGAGGUUUCAGUGCUGUAGCGAAGGCGAAGAGUGUGCUACCUGGGAAGUAUAGUCGCAAGACCGAAACUUAAAGGAAUAGGCGGGGGAGUACCACAACGAGUGACGCGUGCGGUUCAAUUAGAUUCUACAGCCGUGAACCUCACCAGGAUCGACAGCAGAAUGAAGGUCAGUCUGAAGGGCUUACCUGACACGCUGAGAGGAGGUGCAUGGCCAAU
RNAcentral lists this ribosomal RNA (909 nucleotides) under uncultured archaeon. Its description in RNAcentral is "bacterial SSU rRNA". It matches the Rfam family "Archaeal small subunit ribosomal RNA", at positions 88 to 1002 of the family's 1478-position model. The record is from RNAcentral.